Molecule: ribosomal RNA, 164 nt
Filed under: Limnanthes douglasii (Douglas's meadowfoam)
Lineage: Eukaryota; Viridiplantae; Streptophyta; Magnoliopsida; Brassicales; Limnanthaceae
Description: 5.8S ribosomal RNA
Rfam family: 5.8S ribosomal RNA
About the family: 5.8S ribosomal RNA (5.8S rRNA) is a component of the large subunit of the eukaryotic ribosome. It is transcribed by RNA polymerase I as part of the 45S precursor that also contains 18S and 28S rRNA. Functionally, it is thought that 5.8S rRNA may be involved in ribosome translocation.
Source: RNAcentral
AUAACGACUCUCGGCAACGGAUAUCUUGGCUCUCGCAUCGAUGAAGAACGUAGCGAAAUGCGAUACUUGGUGUGAAUUGCAGAAUCCCGUGAACCAUCGAGUUUUUGAACGCAAGUUGCGCCCCAAGCCGUUAGGCUGAGGGCACGUCUGCCUGGGUGUCACGC